AGCGAAUAGAUACCCAGGUAGUCCACGCCGUAAACUAUGGACGCUAGCUGUUAGAAGUAUCGACCCUUCUAGUAGCGAAAGCUAACGCGUUAAGCGUCCCGCCUGUGGAGUACGAGCGCAAGCUUAAAACAUAAAGGAAUUGACGGGGACCCGCACAAGCGGUGGAGCGUGUUGUUUAAUUCGAUGCUAAGCGAAGAACCUUACCCAGGUUUGACAUCCUGCUAAUUUCUCCGAAAGGAGAGAGUGCCUUCGGGCCGCAGUGACAGGUGUUGCAUGGCCGUCGUCAGCUCGUGUCGUGAGGUGUUUGAUUAAGUCCAUCAACGAGCGCAACCCUUUUGUUUAGUUGUAUUUCUCUAAACAGACUGCCCUGGUAACAGGG
Molecule: ribosomal RNA, 379 nt
Filed under: uncultured bacterium
Lineage: Bacteria
Description: bacterial SSU rRNA
Rfam family: Bacterial small subunit ribosomal RNA
Source: RNAcentral